UGCUUGCUUGGGAUGAGUUGGGAUUCAAUUUCUCUCUCUUGAUGAUGUAAAGUCAUGCAUUAUAAUUGCAUAUACCUUUUUUUUUGGUUAAAAAUUACACUUAUUCCUUGUCUCAAGAUAAAGCAAGGCGAAAAGAGCUUACAUGAUGCGUGGAUGCAUUAUCUAACGUUUCCACAGCCAACUCCUAGUAAGAGAUCAAGGAAGAGCACAAUCUUACAAAGUCGAGCAUGAUUUUGUUGUCCCC
This 244-nucleotide long non-coding RNA is filed under the name Elaeis guineensis (African oil palm). RNAcentral's name for it is "long non-coding RNA (EGUI_LNC011027)". Lineage: Eukaryota; Viridiplantae; Streptophyta; Magnoliopsida; Arecales; Arecaceae. The record is from RNAcentral.